Molecule: non-coding RNA, 647 nt
Organism: Macaca mulatta (Rhesus monkey)
Lineage: Eukaryota; Metazoa; Chordata; Mammalia; Primates; Cercopithecidae
Source: the annotation of a RefSeq genome assembly
AGCUCACUGAGGUGCACAUUCUGAGUAGGAUCAACACCAGAGGGGUUGUUGUCAAGAGAGAAGCUCUUACUAGUGGUCUCUAGGCCUUACUAAACAGGAAACUCUUGAAUCCUAGAUUUUCCCCAUUAUAAGGACUCACCAUCCUCUGGCACAUUCCUUCCCACUCAGGAGAUCUUCUAGAAUAGAGCUCUCAGCCUCCUCACUGCCUAGCCAUGCUCUUAGUGGUCAUUCUACUGCUUGGAAUGUUCUUCACACUGAGAGGAACCAGAGCCCAGUCGGUGACCCAGCUUGAUGGCCACAUCAUUGUCUCUGAAAGAGACCCUCUGGAACUGAAGUGCAACUAUUCCUAUAGUGGAAUUCCUUCUCUCUUCUGGUAUGUCCAAUACCCCAGCCAAAGCCUUGAGCUUCUCCUCAAGGACCUAUCAGGGGCCACCCAGGUUAAAGGCAUCAAAGGUUUUGAGGCUGAAUUUAAGAAGAGCGAAACCUCCUUCUACCUGAGGAAGCCAUCAGCCCAUGUGAGCGAUGCUGCUGAGUACUUCUGUGCUGUGAGUGACACAGUGCCUGGGACUACAGAAGGAGCUGAACACAAACUUCCUGAGACACUGAGGUCUUCAGCAACUCAAGGGCACAACCUGACCUGUUUGUAG